This 465-nucleotide ribosomal RNA is filed under the name uncultured bacterium. Its description in RNAcentral is "bacterial SSU rRNA". It matches the Rfam family "Bacterial small subunit ribosomal RNA", at positions 329 to 792 of the family's 1533-position model. The record is from RNAcentral.
GCCCAGACUCCUACGGGAGGCAGCAGUGAGGAAUAUUGGUCAAUGGACGAGAGGCUGAACCAGCCAAGUCGCGUGAGGGAUGACGGCCCUACGGGUUGUAAACCUCUUUUGUCGGGGAGCAAAGAGAGUCACGUGUGGCUCAUUGAGAGUACCCGAAGAAAAAGCAUCGGCUAACUCCGUGCCAGCAGCCGCGGUAAUACGGAGGAUGCGAGCGUUAUCCGGAUUUAUUGGGUUUAAAGGGUGCGUAGGCGGGAUGCCAAGUCAGCGGUAAAAAUGCGGUGCUCAACGCCGUCGAGCCGUUGAAACUGGCGUUCUUGAGUGGGCGAGAAGUAUGCGGAAUGCGUGGUGUAGCGGUGAAAUGCAUAGAUGUCACGCAGAACUCCGAUUGCGAAGGCAGCAUACCGGCGCCCUACUGACGCUGAGGCACGAAAGCGUGGGUAUCGAACAGGAUUAGAUACCCCUGUA